CCAGCUGUCAGGUGUGGAGAGUCUUUUUAACUGUGACGUCUCCUGCUCCUCCCUAGGUAGAGCCUCAGGCAUGACAAGUCUGAAAGUUCAGCACUCAGCUCACUUCCAAGUCCAUCAGAGCUCUUAAGUUGCUCUUCAGCCUAAACCUCCUGAAACAACCAGUCUGUCCAGGCUGCUGCAAGACCUCCUGGCAGGUCUUUCUCCCCAAGAAGGAAUAUGUAGAAAAGGAGAUCAGCCACAAGCUGCUGGGGUUUGCAUACACCACUCAUGAAGGAGAGUAUCUGCCCUGCUUGCAGGCCAAGAGCUGUUCCUUGCAAGUGCAUCCACAUGGCUGGACUCUCAGCAUGUGGAAACCCAGUCCCAGGCAUUAGCCCAGAAGUUAUUUAAACAAGAAACAUCUUUAUUCUUUCCAUGCUCAUUAUUAAAAUAAAACACCCUUCUGAAUUUUAAUAAGACCCAUUCACUCCCUGCCUGGUUUUACAGCACCACCCUCUUAUCUAGAUAGUUUUUCCUAAUGUCAAACCUAAAUUUUAUUAUCUGCAAAUAAAGCUGGUUCUUUCUUUCCCUAUCCCUCAGCAAGCAUGGGGAAAGAUUUAUCACCAUCCUCCUUACAAUGAACUUUAAAAUAUUGCAAGAUUUUUAUCACAGCUCUUCUUUAGACUCUGCUGUUCCCAGACUAAACAAACAAUCCUUUCAACAUUUCCUCCUAGGUUGUUCCUUCUAUGCCUCUGAUAUUUCUAGUGUGUCUCUCCUGGACUCUCUCCAGUUUGUCUACAUUUUUCUUUACAGCACAGUACCCAAAACUGGACACUCUAUUCCAGCUGAGGCCUCACCGGUGCCAAGUGGAGUAGAAUAAUUAUCUCCUAUGUCUUAGGUUGCAGUCUCACAUCCUGUUCUGCCUGCAGCUGAGCUGGGUGAAAAGUUUAUUUCUUUUCACCCACUCCAGCUGCUUAUCACCACCCCCCAGCUGCAGGCUCUCCCCCUCCCAGGUCAGCAGCGUCACUGCCGGGGGAUUGCUCCAAACACAAUCCGGGUGAACAGUCCAGGUUAGAGACAAUAAUUCAAAUAACAGGGCAUUCCUGAUCACCAAUUCAGCAGUCCCAGGUGAAGCUGAGGAUAAACAGGUUUGAAAAAGGUGGGAGGGGAUGAUGAGCAACAAGGUAAUGGACAGCAGCUUUCACAGCUGGAGGAACUGCAGCCAGGAAGGGACCUGAUAUUGUCCUUACCCUCAGCCUUUUGUCCCCUCUGCACCCUCAGUCCCUCCUGAUGCUGCUGCCCAGCUGGAAAAUCCUCUUUCUGUAUUUCUCCUCCCAGACUGCUGUAGCUUGCACUUCAUCAUCAGGCUAACUUUAUAACAUUUUUCCUCAUUAUCAAUGCUCUUCUAAACUGUUUUAUUGUCCUGAGUAAGGCCACCCCAAACAAGUCUCUUGUGAGCACAUCCCUUGUUCUCACACCCAAGGUGGUUAUGAAAAGGAUGGAGAGGAGAACAUUGAGGUUUGGCUGAAAAGCUGUCCUGGUGUGGCAGCAAUACUUUCACAGCCAUCACCUACAGAUCCUCAUCCACUCCUGCACCACCUCAGAGUGACAGUUUUGUGUCUGCUCACAGCCCUUCUCUGAACAGGGUCACAAGGCUCACCAGUGUCACAGAGAAAAUUCCUGUUGCCUUCUUCCACUUGCUCUGCCUAUAGAGAACACCUGGCAGGACCCCAUAUGGGCUUUUCCCACUGACCCCAGAAAUACAGCCAGACAAUAUAGAAAUACUGCACUGAUUAGACCGAGGAUGAGCCUUUCUUUGCUUCUGCAGAGAUACAACGGUGGCCUGAGCUGGCUGCUGAUCUGUCUUGCAGAUUUUCUGCUCCCCUGCAAAACAGUGUUUUGUGCUCUGAAGAAUGAAGACUUGGGGAAACAACCAUCCUGUGAGGUCUAAGGGCAUUUCUACACCAGGACCACCAGCCACAGUGAGAACAUUUGGUGACAUCAUGACCCUGGGUAACUCCCUCCCACAGCUGACAUUUCCUUCUGCUGUUUAAAUAGAGUUACACCCAUUCUGCUUUAUUGCCUUCAGCUCUGGGUAUACCUUCAUCCCACCCUUUGCUUAUCCAUUCAUCCUGUCCCUGUCCAUCCUCAUUCUGUUUUUUUCCUGUUGCCUACUUUCCAUCUCCUUCCAUUGAAACUUCCCACCAACAGCUUCCUUGUUUUCUCAGGCUCCUCUGUGCCACCUCUCCAUUCUCCUGGCCCCACCACAGCCCCCAGUAGCCGCAGGCAGGCUCUGCCCUGCCCGGACACAGCUGUGGGGACUCUGUUCAUGCCACAAAUCCCCUCUUUUCUCAGGCUCUGUGGGAGCUGAGGGUUGGGAACUGCAAGCUCAUGGCAGGCUGAAGUAAUAGGAGUAGAGAUGAGGUGAAGUUCUUGUUCUGUCUUGAACACAGACUGCCAAUCAUGCCAUAAUAGAUGGUGGUUCUAGGCAGGGAACAGCUUUUCAGCCCACCAAAAUUACACCAUUAAAUGGAAUUUCCUCUAUGGGCUAAUCAGGAUUUGAACCCAUUUCUCUGGAGAUAAAAGGCACAGCUCAAUCUCCUGGUUUGCGAGGUCAUCUGGAAUACAAAUCAACUUUCAUGUAUUCGCUUGAAAUGUUUUUAUGUAAAGGAUAUAUUUUUUUUAAUCUCCUUGUUAGUGCCUUGUGCCUAAACUGGAGCUGCGAAGUGACUUUUUCUCACUAGAGGCUAAAUAAAGUACUGUACUGUUUUUAUAAAUGUCCUAAGCUUUGCCAGAAGGCUGGCAAUGAAAGAGGCUGGCAGGAGACAGGCAGUGUCUCUGUUCUGUAUCACGGAAGUGAGCCCAAGGACACCGGCCAGUGCCUCCCAUCCGCGGGAACGCCACCAAUUAACGCACGGGUGAUGUCAUGGAUGGCAAAGGCACUUCCCUCGCAGCUCUCCCUGCUCUGCCAGCUCCAACCUUCAGUGUAUUUUCCUCAGUCUGGUCCAUGUACUGUAGUAACUAAGUCAACUGGAAAAAAUAUUGAAGAAAAGAGUGAGGAAAAACAGUGUAGGGGCAGCUGGAGCCAGCAAAGAAGGCACACUGAGAGCUAUAAAGACGCUUUGUGCAGCAGCUUCUCUCAACUUCAGGAUAUUUAGUUCCACAGGAGUUGGAGAAGAUGGGUAAUAAGCUGGCCUUUAUUUUAAGGGAUAUCCCUUGUAGUCUCAGCUGCAUAAAGAUCACUCUUUGGGCAUGUGGAAACAGUGCUAACAGUAUCUCUCUUUCAGUACCUCCUGCUGCUCACUCCAUUGAAUGGCCUUGUUCCAGCUAGAGAGGAAAAAAACCUUCCAUCCCUAAACAGCCAUCGGUCUGAGGGAAAGGAGGUGAUGAAAAGAGGCUGCAAGUGAUGAAGUGAAGUAAUUAUUUAUAGAAAGAUACAUGACCACUGCACUCAGGUGCCUGCACAGGAACAGGGCCCAGCACUGCUCAUCCUGGAUGCAAGGGAGAUGUGUCUGUGCCUUCCCUGACCCAAAACAGGCAAGGGGAGCACUCCUCUGGGCUUCAGGCACACGAACCACACUGUGCACGGGGUCAGGGAGCGCCAUGGAUGUGGCACGAGGCUGCUUCAAGAUUCAGCAAGGUGAGGCUCAGGGAGGGAUGCAGCCAGGCUCAGAUGUAGCUGCAGCAUCACUCAGGCACAGACUCGGGGUGGGAGCUGGAGAGCAGCUCUGGAGAGAAGGGGUCAGCUGCCAGUGGGACUUCUCCCAGCUCCUCCCACACGGUCUCUUCCCAGCAGCCUGCUCCCAGGCUGCAGCCACAGCACAGCUGAGCUGGCCUGGAGCACUGGCAGCCAAACCUCAGAGAGGGAAAUGGUCUUAGAGGCAGUCAGUGCACCCAGGUCUGUGUGUACCUGUGUAACCGCUCAAGGAACUGGCCUAAAGUGGAGACCACUCUGUAAAAACGGUGAGCUGAGACAUCCAAAUGGAGUUGAGAUAUCCAAAUGGAGUCAAGACAUCAAAUGGCCAUGUGCCACUGGGUUAUGGAUGUAUUUGCAAAUUGGUUCUGUGUUUGUGAACCAAUACAUGCAGUGCUGAUGAUGCAUCUAUAAAAAUUCAAAUUGGCUUCAUGUGACUGUGAAUCAGUACAUGCUGAUAGUGUAUAGAUACAAAUUACAACUGGUCCUGUGUCUUUGUGAAUCAAUAUCCGUCAUGCUGAUUAGAUCCAUCCAAGUUCUUUUAUUUUGUAGCUGAUGGGGAGAGCCAAGCUUUGAGCAGGGAUAGGAGGAAGAAGUAGCCCGAUAGGCAUUGAGCAGAAUGUCCCAGGGACCAAUGUGUUAAAUUGAUCAGAAAACAAGUUUAAAAUUUUACUUGGAAAGAAAUUCAGAAUAAAAUUGCCUCGAAUGUAUCACAAGGGAAGGUGCUUUGCAGUGUUCUGUUGUGCUAGGCAAGCCAGCAAAUGUUCACACUUCCUUUUAACCACAGUCACCUGCACACACUUAGAGAACAUUUUUCUACCCUCAUCAUUUUGCUCCCAAGCCUUUGCUUUUCUGUUCUACCUCCAUUACAAAACUGGCUUCAAACCAUCUCCCAAGUCCGAUGUGACAGAGAUGAAGAGCAAAGAGAUGCCAGAUUGCUGGUGGGGGCUCUGGCUGACUGGGAUUACUGGUAGCUGGAAUGUGCUAAAACAAAGGGAGAGCAAAGGAGCCCAGGUUUUUCAGAUGGAAUCAGGAGGCUCCAGGGGACUUAUCUCUGCCUUGUGAAACACUUUGCAGGUCUUCCAACUGGUAAAAUGUAAAGUGACACUAAGUGAAAUAAACUACUUUAUAAUUCAGCAAUAA
Non-coding RNA from Taeniopygia guttata (zebra finch), 4813 nucleotides. The record is from RefSeq and is a predicted model, not a curated record. NCBI's taxonomy places the organism in Eukaryota, Metazoa, Chordata, Aves, Passeriformes, Estrildidae.